Molecule: ribosomal RNA, 1234 nt
Filed under: metagenome
Description: bacterial LSU rRNA
Rfam family: Bacterial large subunit ribosomal RNA
Source: RNAcentral
UGAAUACGAGACGCUAAGGCGUUGAAGUAGUGUAUGUCAUACUUCCAAGAAAAGCUUGCACUGUCAUAGAUAAAAAACGCCUGUACCAUAACCGACACAGGUGGGUAGGUAGAGUAUACUAAGGGGCGCGAGAUAACUCUCUCUAAGGAACUCGGCAAAAUAACUCCGUAACUUCGGGAGAAGGAGUGCCUUAUUUAUAAGGCUGCAAUAACAAGAUCCAAGCAACUGUUUAUCAAAAACACAGGUCUCCGCUAAGUCGUAAGACGAUGUAUGGGGGCUGACGCCUGCCCAGUGCCAGAAGGUUAAAGAAGUUGGUUAGCAAUAGCGAAGCUGAUAACUGAAGCCCUGGUGAACGGCGGCCGUAACAAUAACGGUCCUAAGGUAGCGAAAUUCCUUGUCGGGUAAGUUCCGACCCGCACGAAAGGCGUAAUGAUUUGGAUACUGUCUCGGAGAGGGGCUCGGUGAAAUAGACUUGUCUGUGAAGAUGCGGACUACCUGCACCAGGACAGAAAGACCCUAUGAAGCUUUACUGUAACUUGAAGUUGAAAUUGGACUUUAUUCGCGCAGUAUAGGUGGGAGGCGUUGAUUGUAAUCUUGCGGGAUUAUUGGAGCCAUCAGUGAGAUACCACCCUUGUAAUGUUAGAUUUCUAACUUUGAAUCAUUAUCUGGUCAAAGAACAGUUUCAGGCGGGCAGUUUGACUGGGGCGGUCGCCUCCUAAACGGUAACGGAGGCGUACAAAGGUUUCCUCUGAACGGUUAGAAAUCGUAUCUAGAGUGUAAAGGCAUAAGGAAGCUUGACUGUGAGACCUACAAGUCGAGCAGGACGAAAGUCGGUCUUAGUGAUCUGACGGUACUGAGUGGAAAGGCCGUCACUCAACGGAUAAAAGUUACUCUAAGGAUAACAGGCUGAUCUCCCCCAAGAGUUCACAUCGACGGGGAGGUUUGGCACCUCGAUGUCGGCUCAUCGCAUCCUGGGGCGGUAGUACGUCCCAAGGGUUGGGCUGUUCGCCCAUGAAAGCGGUACGCGAGCUGGGUUCAGAACGUCGUGAGACAGUUCGGUCCAUAUCCGGUGUAGGCGUUAGAAUAUUGAGAGGAGCCUUCUUUAGUACGAGAGGACCGAGAAGGACAUACCUCUGGUGUACCAGUUAUCGUGCCAACGGUAAACGCUGGGUAGCUAUGUAUGGAGUGGAUAACCGCUGAAAGCAUCUAAGUGGGAAGCCCACCUCAAGAUAAG